GCGAAGCGGCAACAGCUCAAAUUUGAAAUCUGGCCCUUCCGGGGUCCGAGUUGUAAUUUGCAGAGGAUGCUUCGGCGUCGGCUCCGGGAUAGGUCCCCUGGAAUGGGGCGCCGUAGAGGGUGAGAGCCCCGUAUUCGCCCGGGCGGCCUUCGCCGUGUGAAGCUCCUUCGAAGAGUCGAGUUGUUUGGGAAUGCAGCUCUAAUCGGGAGGUAUAUUUCUUCUAAAGCUAAAUACCGGCCAGAGACCGAUAGCGCACAAGUAGAGUGAUCGAAAGAUGAAAAGCACUUUGGAAAGAGAGUUAAAAAGCACGUGAAAUUGUUGAAAGGGAAGCUCUUGCCGCCAGACUUGCCCCGGUUGCUCAGCCGUCCUUCUGGGCGGUGUACUCUUCCGGCGGCAGGCCAGCGUCAGUUCGGGCGGUCGGACAAAGGCCGUGGGAAUGUAGCACCCCUAGGGGUGCGUUAUAGCCCACGGUGCAAUGCGGCCAGCCCGGUCUGAGGACCGCGUUCGCGAGGACGUUGGCGUAAUGGCGGCAAGCGACCCGUCUUGAAACACGGACCAAGGAGUCUAACAUCUGUGCGAGUGUUUGGGUGUCAAACCCAUGCGCGCAAUUAAAGUGAACGGAGGUUGGAACCCCCUCGAGGGGCGCACAAUCGACCGAUCCUGAUGUCUUCGGAUGGAUUUGAGUAAGAGCAUAGCUGUUGGGACCCGAAAGAUGGUGAACUUUGCCUGGACAGGGCGAAGCCAGAGGAAACUCUGGUGGAGGCUCGCAGCGGUUCUGACGUGCAAAUCGAUCGUCAAAUCUUGGCAAAGGGGCGAAAGACUAAUCGAACCAUUGAGAAAUUUUCGUAGUUUCUCUUCUUUUUGACUACUAGGUGGUUAAUAAAUCCGCGUCCCGGGGUUUCAACCCCCCUGACGACGCGGGUCUAGUGACCUGCUCGAGAGCGGGUCGCGACGUAGCCUGAUUGCGGGGACGCUCUCGGAGCCUUCAGCUACCGCGGUGGUGUCGAAAGACCCCAUGCAGCACCGGGGGGGCUCGAACNAAUGAUCGAGCCCUACCCACGGGGAUGGUAGAAACGCUGAAGGUAUGGAGUGAUCCGCAGCCCCAGCCCUUCGCUGCUUCGGCGGCAUGGGCGCGGUUCACAGACUAGCAGGUUACGGGCGCGAUCCCCCGGAAGUCCCGGGGGGUGCUCAAGGUAUAGUCGGACCCUCUCAGAAAUGAGAGAUGAGGCUCCCACAAGCCUCAAAAAAUCACGGGAACCUAAUUGCAGUGCUAGUAGCUGGUUCCCGCCGAAGUUUCCCUCAGGAUAGCAGUGACGUCGACAGUUUUAUGAGGUAAAGCGAAUGAUUAGAGGCCUUGGGGUUGAAACAACCUUAACCUAUUCUCAAACUUUAAAUAUGUAAGAAGCCCUUGUUGCUUAGCUGAACGUGGGCAGUCGAAUGGACCGUCACUAGUGGGCCAUUUUUGGUAAGCAGAACUGGCGAUGCGGGAUGAACCGAAAGCGAGAUUAAGGUGCCGGAAUGCACGCUUAUCAGACACCACAAAAGGUGUUGGUUGAUCUUGACAGCAGGACGGUGGCCAUGGAAGUCGGAACCCGCCAAGGAGUGUGUAACAACUCACCUGCCGAAUCAACUAGCCCUGAAAAUGGAUGGCGCUCAAGCGUGCUACCCAAAUCUCGCCGCCGGGGCAGGAUCGAUGCCCCGGCGAGUAGGCGGGCGCGGGGGUCAAUGUGACGAAGCCCAGGGAGCGAUCCCGGGUAGAACGGCCCCCGGUG
Molecule: ribosomal RNA, 1772 nt
Filed under: Opegrapha niveoatra
Lineage: Eukaryota; Fungi; Ascomycota; Arthoniomycetes; Arthoniales; Opegraphaceae
Description: LSU rRNA
Rfam family: Eukaryotic large subunit ribosomal RNA
Source: RNAcentral